This 406-nucleotide ribosomal RNA is filed under the name uncultured bacterium. RNAcentral describes it as "partial 16S ribosomal RNA". It matches the Rfam family "Bacterial small subunit ribosomal RNA", at positions 30 to 526 of the family's 1533-position model. The record is from RNAcentral.
AUUGAACGCUGGCGGCAGGCCUAACACAUGCAAGUCGAACGAGUGGCGGACGGGUGAGUAAUGUCUGGGAAACUGCCUGAUGGAGGGGGAUAACUACUGGAAACGGUAGCUAAUACCGCAUACCAUCGGAUGUGCCCAGAUGGGAUUAGCUAGUUGGUGGGGUAAAGGCUCACCUAGGGGACGAUACCUAGCCGGACUGAGGUGAUGACCGGCCACACUGGAACUGAGACCCGGGACCGCCUCCUAUGGGAGGCAGCAGUGGGGAAUAUUGCACAAUGGGCGCAAGCCUGAUGCAGCCAUGCCGCGUGUAUGAAGAAGGCCUUCGGGUUGUAAAGUACUUUCAGCGGGGAGGCGUUACCCGCAGAAAAAGCACCGGCUAACUCCGUGCCAGCAGCCGCGGUAAUAC